CGCUUGAGAGAACUCAGGAGAAGGAACUCGGCAAAUUAAUACCGUAACUUCGGGAGAAGGUAUGCCUCAUUAGUGUGAUGUGCCUGCGCACAAACCAUGAAGAGGCCGCACAAAAUAGGGAGUAGCGACUGUUUACUAAAAACACAGGACUCUGCAAACACGUAAGUGGAAGUAUAGGGUCUGACGCCUGCCCGGUGCUGGAAGGUUAAUAGGAGGGGUGCAAGCUCUGAAUUGAAGCCCCAGUAAACGGCGGCCGUAACACUGACGGUCCUAAGGUAGCGAAAUUCCUUGUCGGGUAAGUUCCGACCCGCACGAAUGGCGUAACGAUUUCUCCACUGUCUCCAACAUCACUUCAGCGAAAUUGAAUUCCCCGUGCAGAUGCGGGGUACCCGCGGUUAGACGAAGAGACCCCGUGCACCUUUACUAUAGCUUUACAUUGCUAUUAAAAGUGUGAUGUGCAGGAUAGGUGGGAGACUUUGAAGUUAUGGCGCUAGCUAUAAUGGAGUCAACCUUGAGAUACCACCCUUUACACUUUUGAUAUCUAACUAUGUUUCAUUAUCUGGAACUAGGACAUUGUAUGGUGGGUAGUUUGACUGGGGCGGUCGCCUCCUAAAAAGUAACGGAGGCGUGCGAAGGUAAGCUAGAGCUGGUCGGAAAUCAGCUUGAUAGUACAAUGGCAUAAGCUUGCCUGACUGCGAGGCUGACAAGCCAAGCAGAGACGAAAGUCGGUCAUAGUGAUCCGGUGAUUCUGUAUGGAAGGGUCAUCGCUCAACGGAUAAAAGGUACGCCGGGGAUAACAGGCUGAUGGUGUUCGAGAGUUCAUAUCGACGACACCGUUUGGCACCUCGAUGUCGACUCAUCACAUCCUGGGGCUGGAGAAGGUCCCAAGGGUUCGGCUGUUCGCCGAUUAAAGUGUUACGUGAGUUGGGUUUAGAACGUCGUGAGACAGUUCGGUUUCUAUCUGCCGUGGGUGAAGGAAAUUUGAGAAGAUCUGACUCUAGUACGAGAGGACCGAGAUGGAUAUACCUCUGGUGUUCCGGUUGUCAUGCCAAUGGCAUUGCCCGGUAGCUAAGUGCGGAAAAGAUAACCGCUGAAAGCAUCUAAGCGGGAAACUUGCCUUGAGAUGAGAUUUCCCGGAGCCUUUAAGGGUCCUAAAGGAACGUUUAAGACUAAGACGUUGAUAGGUUGGGUGUGUAAGCGUAGCGAUACGUUGAGCUAACCAAUACUAAUGAACCGUGAGGCUUAACCU
RNAcentral lists this ribosomal RNA (1249 nucleotides) under Leptopilina clavipes. Its description in RNAcentral is "bacterial LSU rRNA". It matches the Rfam family "Bacterial large subunit ribosomal RNA", at positions 1687 to 2925 of the family's 2925-position model. Lineage: Eukaryota; Metazoa; Arthropoda; Insecta; Hymenoptera; Figitidae. The record is from RNAcentral.